This 803-nucleotide ribosomal RNA is filed under the name Trichonectes otini. RNAcentral's name for it is "SSU rRNA". It matches the Rfam family "Eukaryotic small subunit ribosomal RNA", at positions 929 to 1677 of the family's 1831-position model. Lineage: Eukaryota; Metazoa; Arthropoda; Insecta; Coleoptera; Dytiscidae. The record is from RNAcentral.
CGCAAGACGGAAGGAAGCGAAAGCAUUUGCCAAAAAUGUUUUCAUUAAUCAAGAACGAAAGUCAGAGGUUCGAAGGCGAUCAGAUACCGCCCUAGUUCUGACCAUAAACGAUGCCAGCUAGCGAUCCGCCGACGUUCCUCCGAUGACUCGGCGGGCAGCUUCCGGGAAACCAAAGCUUUUGGGUUCCGGGGGAAGUAUGGUUGCAAAGCUGAAACUUAAAGGAAUUGACGGAAGGGCACCACCAGGAGUGGAGCCUGCGGCUUAAUUUGACUCAACACUGGAAACCUCACCAGGCCCGGACACCGGAAGGAUUGACAGAUUGAGAGCUCUUUCUUGAUUCGGUGGGUGGUGGUGCAUGGCCGUUCUUAGUUGGUGGAGCGAUUUGUCUGGUUAAUUCCGAUAACGAACGAGACUCUGGCCUGCUAACUAGGCGAAACAAAUUACCGGCAUUCCAAUGGUUCGCGGUGUCCCCUCCGCGGGCCCGCCGACGGUCCGGUCGGGGCUCGUGCGGCUUUCACUGUCGGCGUACACAGUAAUCUUCUUAGAGGGACAGGCGGCUCCCAGCCGCACUAGAACAGAGCAAUAACAGGUCUGUGAUGCCCUUAGAUGUCCUGGGCCGACGCGCGCUACACUGAAGGAAUCAACGUGUCUUCCCUGGCCGAACGGCCCGGGUAACCCGCUGAACCUCCUUCGUGCUAGGGAUCGGGGCUUGCAUUUUUUCCCCGUGAACGAGGAAUUCCCAGUAAGCGUGAGUCAUAAGCUCGCGCUGAUUACGUCCCUGCCCUUGGUACACACCGCCCGUC